AAGUCGUAACAAGGUCUCCGUAGGUGAACCUGCGGAGGGAUCAUUACCGAGUUCGUGCCCCGCAGCGGGGUAGAUCUCCCACCCUUGUGUAUCUUCGUACCGUUCUGUUGCUUUGGCAGGCCGCUCAGGCUGCGGCUCGACCACCGGCUCCCCCUAGGGGGGCGGGUGUGCGCCUGCCAGAGGACCCCCCCCAACUCUUGUUUGUCAGUGUCGUCUGAGUACUACAACCAAUCGUUAAAACUUUCAACAACGGAUCUCUUGGUUCUG
RNAcentral lists this unclassified non-coding RNA (267 nucleotides) under Scytalidium sp. RNAcentral describes it as "partial internal transcribed spacer region". The stretch from base 1 to 46 matches the Rfam family "Eukaryotic small subunit ribosomal RNA", at positions 1786 to 1831 of the family's 1831-position model. The record is from RNAcentral. Lineage: Eukaryota; Fungi; Ascomycota; Leotiomycetes.